This 243-nucleotide long non-coding RNA is filed under the name Ananas comosus (pineapple). Its description in RNAcentral is "long non-coding RNA (ACOM_LNC043602)". The record is from RNAcentral. Lineage: Eukaryota; Viridiplantae; Streptophyta; Magnoliopsida; Poales; Bromeliaceae.
UUAGCUCUAUACCCUGUACUUUUGGUUAUGUUUUGAGAGUAGAUGUUGUAUAGGGUGAGGUUUUGGAGAGUUCAUGAUGUAUAUUCAUUUGAGAAGAGAAUGCAAGUUGUAUUAAAUGGUUAAAGUUUAAAAUGUUAUCUAAAGAGGUUAAAUGUUUCAAUUAUGGUUUAAAUAGCUAAGUUUCUCUCUUUUGUAUACUUGUAUGAUUUUACUUGUAUCGCUUGCUCUAGUUGGUUAUAGCAC